AUGGCGCCGCCCGCCGCUCUCGCCCGGGUCAUAUCCUGCCUCCUCCCCCCGCCCCUCCGCCCCCCUCCCAUGCUCUCCACGCGUCUCCUCCGCCUCCGCCACCGCCCCAGCUCCUGCUCCUCGCCCCUCCGCUUCAUCGCCGCCGCCGCCAUGUCGUCGUCGUCCUCCUCCUCCACCGCCGCGCCCGGCGGCGGCCGGAAGCCGAACCGCCUAGCCGCCGAGCACAGCCCCUACCUGCUGCAGCACGCGCACAACCCGGUUGACUGGUAUCCUUGGGGAGAUGAGGCUUUCGAGAAGGCUCGCAAAUUGGACAUCCCCAUCUUUCUGUCAAUUGGCUAUAGUACAUGCCAUUGGUGUCAUGUAAUGGAGGUGGAGUCUUUUGAGAAUGAAGAAGUUGCUAAGAUUCUAAAUGAUUGGUUUGUUAGCAUCAAGGUGGAUCGUGAAGAGCGGCCAGAUGUUGACAAGGUUUAUAUGACAUAUGUGUCAGCGCUGUACGGCGGUGGUGGUUGGCCUUUGACCGUCUUUUUAUCACCUAACUUAAAGCCUUUGAUGGGCGGUACAUACUUUCCACCAGAUGAUAAGUAUGGAAGACCUGGGUUCAAGACUAUUUUAAGAAAGGUCAAGGAAGCCUGGGAUACUAAACGUGAUGCGCUUGAGAAGUCAGGAAAUGUGGUCAUCGAGCAACUUAGAGAUGCAUUAUCUGCCAAGGCUAGCUCUCAAGAUGUGCCAAAUGAUGUGGCUGUUCUUUAUAUAGAUCAAUGUGUUGAAAAGUUAGCAAGCAGUUAUGACCCAAAGUUUGGUGGAUUUGGCUCUGCUCCCAAGUUUCCAAGACCUGUUGAAGAUUGCAUAAUGCUCUAUAAAUUCCGGAAACACAUGGAAGCUAGGCAGGAGAGUGAAGCCCAAAACAUAAUGAAGAUGGUAACUCAUACACUGCAAUGUAUGGCUAGAGGUGGAGUUCAUGACCAUGUUGGGGGUGGCUUUCAUAGAUAUAGUGUGGACGAGUGCUGGCAUGUUCCACAUUUUGAGAAGAUGCUGUACGACCAGGGACAGAUAGCCAAUGUAUACUUGGAUACAUAUGUUAUCACAGGAGAUGAGUAUUAUUCUUCAGUUGCACGUGAUAUACUUGAUUACUUGAGGAGAGACAUGAUUGGAGAAGAUGGUGAAAUUUUCUCAGCAGAAGAUGCUGACAGUGCAGAAUAUGAAGGUGCUCCAAGAAAAAAAGAGGGUUCUUUCUAUGUGUGGACAAGUCAAGAGAUCGAAGACACACUUGGGGAGAACGCGGAGCUGUUCAAGAACCACUACUAUGUUAAAUCUUCUGGCAACUGUGACCUUUCGGGGAUGAGUGAUCCUCACAACGAGUUCAGUGGUAAAAAUGUGUUAAUAGAAAGAAGACCGGGUUCAUUGAUGGCAUCGAAGUAUGGCAAGUCUGUUGAUGAAUAUUAUGGAAUCCUGGGGGAAUGCAGACAGAAGUUGUUUGAUGUCCGAUCAAAAAGGCCAAGACCACAUUUGGACGACAAGGUUAUUGUUUCAUGGAAUGGAUUAGCAAUAUCUGCCUUUGCAAGAGCUUCACAAAUUUUGAAGUCAGGACCACCUGGAACCAAAUUUUAUUUCCCUGUAGCAGGAUGCGACCCAGUAGAAUAUCUUCAAGUUGCAGAAAAGGCAGCAAACUUUAUAAAGGAAAAACUCUAUGAUGCAAACACAAAAAGGUUGCAACAUAGUUAUCGAAAUGGCCCAGCAAAAGCACCAGGAUUUUUAGAUGAUUAUGCCUUCUUAAUCAAUGGCUUGCUGGAUCUCUAUGAAUAUGGUGGUAAGAUAGAGUGGCUUCUGUGGGCUAUCGAGCUGCAAGUCAUUCAGCCUUCUGGAAACUCGAUGGCAGCGAUCAACAUGGUCAGAUUGUCCAGUAUAUUUGAUGCUACAAAAUCUGAAGGCUACAAACGCAAUGUUGAACAUCUCCUGGCGGUGUUUGAGACUAGACUGAAAGAACUUGGCAUAGCAUUGCCGCUGAUGUGCUGCGCAGCAGACAUGCUCAGUGUCCCGUCAAGGAAGCAGGUAGUGCUGGUGGGGAAUAAAGCAUCUCCAGAGUUUCAAGACAUGGUCGCUGCUGCAUUCUCGUCAUACGACCCAAACAGAACCGUGAUCCAGAUAGAUGCCAGCAACAUGGAAGAGAUGGCAUUCUGGGAGAGCAACAAUGCGAACAUCGCGCAGAUGGCACGGAGCAGCCCAUCGGGGAAGCCAGCGGUGGCGCAUGUGUGCCAAGAGUUCAAGUGCAGUCCUCCGGUGACCUCUCCAGGCACGCUCCGUGAGCUGCUCAACAAGACGGUGGCUGCUGCGGGUUCAGCUGUUUGA
Molecule: ribosomal RNA, 2346 nt
Filed under: Triticum aestivum (bread wheat)
Lineage: Eukaryota; Viridiplantae; Streptophyta; Magnoliopsida; Poales; Poaceae
Description: partial small subunit ribosomal RNA
Source: RNAcentral